UACAGGCUGAAUUUUGAGCUUGAGAUGCUCAAAAUGGAGCAUAAGCAGGUGAUGUCUGCCCUGCAGAAAUUGCCCAUAGAGAUCCUUGAUGCCUUGGAGAAGUGCUCGGGUCUGAUUGAGGAGACUGAAUCCUUCAGUUAUAUCAAUGUCCAGGUCCUAUGAGAGUGUACUCAGCUACAGAAGAAUGUACAUAUGUUGAGACUGAAGAACAGACUACCAUGGAAGGAGCAGACUGAACUGCAAGAGUCCUGUGAGGAGCUGAAGAGGCUCUUGUAGGAGGCUCAUGAGAUGAUCUGUGACUCUUCUGCUGAGCAACAGCAGG
This is a non-coding RNA of Peromyscus maniculatus bairdii (prairie deer mouse), 322 nucleotides long. Lineage: Eukaryota; Metazoa; Chordata; Mammalia; Rodentia; Cricetidae. The record is from RefSeq and is a predicted model, not a curated record.